GCGGAUGUGGCGGAAUGGCAGACGCGCAGCGCUCAGGACGCUGUAGGAGCAAUCCUGUGGAGGUUCAAGUCCUCUCAUCCGCACCA
This 86-nucleotide transfer RNA is filed under the name Acidobacteriota bacterium. RNAcentral's name for it is "tRNA-Leu". It matches the Rfam family "tRNA". From Rfam's summary of the family: Transfer RNA (tRNA) molecules are approximately 80 nucleotides in length. Their secondary structure includes four short double-helical elements and three loops (D, anti-codon, and T loops). Further hydrogen bonds mediate the characteristic L-shaped molecular structure. tRNAs have two regions of fundamental functional importance: the anti-codon, which is responsible for specific mRNA codon recognition, and the 3' end, to which the tRNAs corresponding amino acid is attached (by aminoacyl-tRNA synthetases). tRNAs cope with the degeneracy of the genetic code in two manners: having more than one tRNA (with a specific anti-codon) for a particular amino acid; and 'wobble' base-pairing, i.e. permitting non-standard base-pairing at the 3rd anti-codon position. Lineage: Bacteria; Pseudomonadati; Acidobacteriota. RNAcentral also lists the same sequence under 3 other names. The record is from RNAcentral.